GAGGGUUUGAUCCUGGCUCAGAUUGAACGCUGGCGGCAGGCCUAACACAUGCAAGUCGAGCGGAUGAAGGGAGCUUGCUCCUGGAUUCAGCGGCGGACGGGUGAGUAAUGCCUAGGAAUCUGCCUGGUAGUGGGGGAUAACGUCCGGAAACGGGCGCUAAUACCGCAUACGUCCUGAGGGAGAAAGUGGGGGAUCUUCGGACCUCACGCUAUCAGAUGAGCCUAGGUCGGAUUAGCUAGUUGGUGGGGUAAAGGCCUACCAAGGCGACGAUCCGUAACUGGUCUGAGAGGAUGAUCAGUCACACUGGAACUGAGACACGGUCCAGACUCCUACGGGAGGCAGCAGUGGGGAAUAUUGGACAAUGGGCGAAAGCCUGAUCCAGCCAUGCCGCGUGUGUGAAGAAGGUCUUCGGAUUGUAAAGCACUUUAAGUUGGGAGGAAGGGCAGUAAGUUAAUACCUUGCUGUUUUGACGUUACCAACAGAAUAAGCACCGGCUAACUUCGUGCCAGCAGCCGCGGUAAUACGAAGGGUGCAGCGUUAAUCGGA
Molecule: ribosomal RNA, 546 nt
Filed under: uncultured bacterium
Lineage: Bacteria
Description: bacterial SSU rRNA
Rfam family: Bacterial small subunit ribosomal RNA
Source: RNAcentral